Molecule: unclassified non-coding RNA, 3562 nt
Filed under: Haliotis rufescens (red abalone)
Lineage: Eukaryota; Metazoa; Mollusca; Gastropoda; Lepetellida; Haliotidae
Description: uncharacterized LOC124144271, transcript variant X1
Source: RNAcentral
GGCGAGGGUUGGCCACCUCAAACUAUCUUAUCUGCCGUAGUAAACUUAUAAAGCCCACGUGAGACGAGCGGUGUAGUGUUACAACCAGUGGGGCUGUGAGAGACCGCUGUUCUCUGCCAUGUGUUCUGUUAUUAGAAAAGAAUUUCGUGUACGCAACGCCUGGCUCAAUUUCGAGCGCCCGGAUUACUUCGGACGUUCUCAGUUAGCAUGCAGUACGAACCUGGGAUGGACUCGCCCGGCGUACGUCAUCUACCGCUUGCUGAUAGCAGCCUAUGCCUGCUUUGCCCUUGUUCACAUCUUCAUCAAAUCCGAGGAUAACUUCAACGACGAUGUCAACUCGACGUCACACAACGUGACGCAGCCGCGACAGUACCACGCCAUUGUGUUUCUGACUGUUUGGACCUACACACUUCUCACCUGUCAUUUGGUACUGGCGUUCAUCAUAUCCCUGGUCUAUUUCAAACACGCAAAGACGUCAUCGACGGAAUGUCAACUGAAGAGCGUCACCACUUCCGGGUUUUACGACAACGCAACUUUCACCUCUGAUGCCGUCAAUGGUUUGGUGAGAGAAAACAACAAAAGCGUCGUCUUCGACAACGAAAAUAACGUCAAAAUUGUCGACGGUUCCACAACAAAUUCGGACUCUUCACAAACACAUGUCGAUAUUGACACAAUUAUUCUUCCUUGGUAUUCCAAAAUAUCCUGGCUCCUUUCAAACAUAGUGUCGACGUUCGCCAUCAUUGUGACUGCAAUAUUUUUCGGGGUGUUAUACACAUCGACGGCCGCCAUCUCCCUUGAAGACAUGAACGUCCACGCCCUUAACACCGUUUUCAUUGUAGUCGACAACGUUGUUAGCGCUCGCCCGAUGCGUCUUCUUCACGUCAUAUACCCCGUUGUGUACGGUCUCUGCUACGUCGUCUUCAGCGCCAUCUACUGGGCAUAUGACCAUCGCAACGUCAUCUAUCCAAUCGUUUUAGACUGGAACAACGUUGGACUGACUCUAGGAGUUACUAGUGGUAUAACUGUGUUAACCUGUGUACUUCAUGUUGUUCAGUUUGCUUUAUACCGUUUGAGACUUUUUGUUUAUGAAAAAUGUUGUUCAAACUAGCGUUGCCAAAUGUAUUAUGUUAUCGAAAAUGAUUCAACCCUGCACCGUGAAUCAAAACGAAAAUGUGCUUUCCCGUGUCAACCUUAUAAUGGUAAUAUUUAUUUUGUUAAAUACAUGUACAGAUACAGAGCAUUGAUUUGACAGAUAUGAAAAUUAUGUUUAACUUUUAUGCAUUUCAUAUUCAUGACAAUGUCAAUUUCGUGAGUAUACUUACUGAAAAAAAUAGUAACUUUGAUAAACACCUUUAUGGUUUUGCAGACUAAUCAAUCUCUAACUGUGCACACAAUAAACCAGUUGUACUUAUAGAUCAGGGUAGUGGUAGCCUUGAAGUGUACUGUAAAUAUUUAACAAGAAAUGAAAAAAAGACGGAUAUUUCACCAUGACUCCAUGGAAAUCAAAUUCUCUAGAAAAAUUCCAUAAUGCAUAUUCAAAAUAUCCUCAAGUCCCGUGCCUAAAAAACACAAUAUGACAGACGAUGACAUGAUUGUAGUUACUUUCACCUUUGAAUAUAUGUGGUGAAAACUGAAUCUCGUGUUCUCUCAUUCAGGCGUCCUUCAUUGUUGCUGGCAACCUGGGCGUGUGUUCAUGGUCUUUAAAUGUCUGUAAUAAUUACAUCCAUCGAUUUUCCGUUCCAGAUCAGGUUGUGUGUGUGUGUAUCCUGUCUCCAUGAUAUUUGUUAAAGUGUAAAGUGGUAAAUUGUUCUCCAAGGUUGUGGCUGUCCCGGUGAUUAAUGGCUUGGAAGUGUGUCAUGUCUUCACUCCAGGUCACGCAGAUAAGCCUUCUUCAAUGUUUGGAGUAGAAAUAGCUCGAUACCAUAUUUCUUUUUCAGCUGUUCGAUAAGCUCACUGUCCUACUUUUCGAAUUACAGUUUUAACAUGUACGAAUAACACCGCACAGAGUUGCGUCUGUUGGGCACGCCAGAAACCUAUGAUCGUUGGUUCGAAUACCGGUUCGGCCAGAUUAUGUUUUUAAGUUUGUCAGCACCAUACCCGUGCUCAUAGGUUUCAUAAAAGCAGUAAAGGUCUUAGACCUACAUCACUUUUGGCUUUCCUUCCACAUCAAGCUGACGUACUGCUAUAUAACUGGAAUACUGUUCAAAGCGGCGCUAAACCCAACUCACUCACUCGCCAGAAAGCUCGAUACAAUUUAUUCACUCGUGGACAUAUAAUCCGUAAUUGUUGAUAGCUCGGUUGUUAUGUUCUAAAUAGAUCCGGGUUUUACCAUGUGGGUAUUUCAGUGUUCUAGGAAGUCACAUUAGUUCGUUGUAUAGAGUUGCGUCACUCAGCCUUGCAAGGAUACGCUGACAAUCAGUUCCAGCAAUCGAUGACUGUGAUGGUCUGUCAUCACUAUACCCGUGCUCGUGGGCUUAAUCUAGAUGGUGUAUGUUUAGGACAUGUGACGCCAUUGCCUUUGCCGAACAUUAAGUUGACACGCGGUGAUGUAACUUUUAUAUACUGUUCAAAACGGUGUUAAACUAAACUCACUCACUCACUUUGAUGGAGUGAGUAAGUAAGUUUGGUUUAACGCCGCUCUUGGUUUAACGUGGAGUGUCAGGGAUACCUUAAAGGAUGCAAGUCUUACCAUUUUUGUGAAACGCACGAGCACGGGUAUGGUGAUGAUAAACCUGGACACAUAAUACAGGGAACAUCUGGAAUUGGCACAUAGGGUGAUGGGUUCUGGUACGCCUAAGGGACGCAACUCUGCAAAGCGUUUGGAGUCAGCUUAAACGAAUGGGGCACCCGUCUAACCACUAUGGUGGAUGCUUCCUGGCCGUGUAAAACAUUUGCUACAUCUUAGUUAGUUAUGUGUGUGUGUGUGUGUGUGUGUGUGUGUGUGUGUGUGUGUGUGUGUGUGUGUGUGUGUGUGUGUGUGUGUGUGUGUUUUGAUACGUGUGUAUUCCAGUAAAGUAGGACACAGCGGCCGUCACUGUAUUAGAGUAGGUUUAUAUUUAUAUGAUGGUUGUAUAUUAUAUGUAUAUACACGUUUGAUAAGAUGGUUGCACUUACGUUAUAUCAUGUUUUUUAUCAUUUCUAUCAUAUCUUAAGAAAAGUAUUCUAUUGAUCACCUUUUUAAGAUCUCGGGGGCAAAUAGUUCUCAAAUUUAUAUUUUAUUCACAAAUGAAGUCAUAGAAAGUAUUUGUUUGUGUAAGUGCGGAACGUGAAUAAGAGUUCCAGGGCCCCGUUCCACAAAGUCAUCUUAGCGCUCAGGUGAUCGUAACUCCCAUACUCUAACACUGGCUUACGAUAGUCGUAGUGCUUAGAUCACUUUGUCGAACGAUGCCCUGCCCAUAUAAGUAUUAGAUUCGUAUGUACCUUCUUUGUGUUACUGGGAGCACGGGUGGCCCAGUCGUCUAAGACGCCGCGAUUCGCUGUGUAGAGUUGCGUCCCUUGGGCACGCCAGAAACCUAUGAUUGUGGGUUCGAAUCACGGUUCGCCCUGAUUAUGUUUCUAGGUU